ACGUUAGCGGCGGACGGGUGAGUAACACGUGGGUAACCUACCUAUAAGACUGGGAUAACUUCGGGAAACCGGAGCUAAUACCGGAUAAUAUUUCGAACCGCAUGGUUCGAUAGUGAAAGAUGGUUUUGCUAUCACUUAUAGAUGGACCCGCGCCGUAUUAGCUAGUUGUUAAGGUAACGGCUUACCAAGGCGACGAUACGUAGCCGACCUGAGAGGGUGAUCGGCCACACUGGAACUGAGACACGGUCCAGACUCCUACGGGAGGCAGCAGAA
RNAcentral lists this ribosomal RNA (273 nucleotides) under uncultured Staphylococcus sp. RNAcentral describes it as "partial 16S ribosomal RNA". It matches the Rfam family "Bacterial small subunit ribosomal RNA", at positions 89 to 354 of the family's 1533-position model. Lineage: Bacteria; Bacillati; Bacillota; Bacilli; Caryophanales; Staphylococcaceae. The record is from RNAcentral.